GUUGUAUAGUCAAGUAAUUAAGUGCAUGUGGUGGAUGCUUGGCAGUCAGAGGCGAUGAAAGACGUGAUAGCCUGCGAAAAGCUCCGGGGAGGCGGCAAAUAUCCUUUGAUCCGGAGAUGUCUGAAUGGGGGAACCCACCUACUUUAAGGUAGGUAUUGCAACAUGAAUACAUAGUGUUGCAAGGCGAACGAGGGGAAGUGAAACAUCUCAGUACCCUUAGGAAAAGAAAUCAAUUGAGAUUCCCUCAGUAGCGGCGAGCGAACGGGGAUCAGCCCAUUAAGUUAUGUGUGUUUUAGUGGAACGCUCUGGGAAGUGCGAACGUAGAGGGUGAUAUUCCCGUACACGAAAGGGCACACAUAAUGAUGACGAGUAGGGCGAGGCACGUGAAACCUUGUCUGAAUAUGGGGGGACCAUCCUCCAAGGCUAAAUACUCCUGACUGACCGAUAGUGAACCAGUACCGUGAGGGAAAGGCGAAAAGAACCCCUGUGAGGGGAGUGAAAUAGAUCCUGAAACCGCAUGCAUACAAGCAGUGGGAGCACCUUCGUGGUGUGACUGCGUACCUUUUGUAUAAUGGGUCAGCGACUUAUAUUCAGUAGCGAGGUUAACCGUAUAGGGGAGCCGUAGAGAAAUCGAGUCUUAAUAGGGCGUUUAGUUGCUGGGUAUAGACCCGAAACCAGGCGAUCUAUCCAUGAGCAGGUUGAAGGUUGGGUAACACUAACUGGAGGACCGAACCCACUGUCGUUGAAAAGCCAGGGGAUGACUUGUGGAUAGGGGUGAAAGGCUAAUCAAGCCUGGUGAUAGCUGGUUCUCCCCGAAAGCUAUUUAGGUAGCGCCUCGGACGAAUACCAUAGGGGGUAGAGCACUGUUUCGGCUAGGGGGUCAUCCCGACUUACCAAACCGAUGCAAACUCCGAAUACCUAUGAGUACUAUCCGGGAGACAGACUGCGGGUGCUAACGUCCGUAGUCAAGAGGAAAACAAUCCAGACCGCCAGCUAAGGCCCCAAAAUCAUAGUUAAGUGGGAAACGAUGUGGGAAGGCAUAGACAGCUAGGAGGUUGGCUUAGAAGCAGCCACCCUUUAAAGAAAGCGUAAUAGCUCACUAGUCGAGUCGGCCUGCGCGGAAGAUGUAACGGGGCUAAAACUAUGUGCCGAAGCUGCGGAU
This 1162-nucleotide ribosomal RNA is filed under the name Acinetobacter baumannii. RNAcentral's name for it is "bacterial LSU rRNA". It matches the Rfam family "Bacterial large subunit ribosomal RNA", at positions 1 to 1207 of the family's 2925-position model. Lineage: Bacteria; Pseudomonadati; Pseudomonadota; Gammaproteobacteria; Moraxellales; Moraxellaceae. The record is from RNAcentral.